Molecule: non-coding RNA, 31 nt
Filed under: Mus musculus (house mouse)
Lineage: Eukaryota; Metazoa; Chordata; Mammalia; Rodentia; Muridae
Source: RNAcentral
UAAAAUUCUGGUCUUUAAGAAAAUGGUCAUC